This 497-nucleotide ribosomal RNA is filed under the name uncultured bacterium. RNAcentral describes it as "partial 16S ribosomal RNA". It matches the Rfam family "Bacterial small subunit ribosomal RNA", at positions 28 to 507 of the family's 1533-position model. The record is from RNAcentral.
GAUGAACGCUGGCGGCGUGCCUAAUACAUGCAAGUCGAGCGAACAGACGAGGAGCUUGCUCCUCUGACGUUAGCGGCGGACGGGUGAGUAACACGUGGAUAACCUACCUAUAAGACUGGGAUAACUUCGGGAAACCGGAGCUAAUACCGGAUAAUAUAUUGAACCGCAUGGUUCAAUAGUGAAAUACGGUUUUGCUGUCACUUAUAGAUGGAUCCGCGCCGCAUUAGCUAGUUGGUAAGGUAACGGCUUACCAAGGCAACGAUGCGUAGCCGACCUGAGAGGGUGAUCGGCCACACUGGAACUGAGACACGGUCCAGACUCCUACGGGAGGCAGCAGUAGGGAAUCUGCCGCAAUGGGCGAAAGCUUGACGGAGCAACGCCGCGUGAGUGAUGAAGGUCUUCGGAUCGUAAAACUCUGUUAUUAGGGAAGAACAAAUGUGUAAGUAACUAUGCACGUCUUGACGGUACCUAAUCAGAAAGCCACGGCUAGCUACGUG